GUCUCUGACCAUAUCACUUGGAAUGCACCCUAUCUCAUUCAUCUCAGAACUUCACCAAGGGUUGGGUCUGGAUAGUACCUGGAUGUGCAACCACCAAACAAAAAACAGGUAUUAUAGGCU
Molecule: ribosomal RNA, 120 nt
Filed under: Petromyzon marinus (sea lamprey)
Lineage: Eukaryota; Metazoa; Chordata; Hyperoartia; Petromyzontiformes; Petromyzontidae
Source: RNAcentral